GAUGAAGAACGUAGCGAAAUGCGAUAAGUAAUGCGAAUUGCAGAAUUCAGUGAGUCAUCGAAUCUUUGAACGCACAUUGCGCCCCUUGGUAUUCCAUGGGGCAUGCCUGUUCGAGCGUCAUUUGUACCUUCAAGCUUUGCUUGGUGUUGGGUGUUUGUCUCGCCUUUGCGUGUAGACUCGCCUUAAAAUAAUUGGCAGCCGGCGUAUUGAUUUCGGAGCGCAGUACAUCUCGCGCUUUGCACUCAUAACGACAGCGUCCAAAAGUACAUUUUACACUCUUGACCUCGGAUCAGGUAGGGAUACCCGCUGAACUUAAGCAUAUCAAUAAGCGGAGGA
RNAcentral lists this unclassified non-coding RNA (336 nucleotides) under soil metagenome. RNAcentral describes it as "partial contains 5.8S ribosomal RNA, internal transcribed spacer 2, and large subunit ribosomal RNA". The stretch from base 1 to 120 matches the Rfam family "5.8S ribosomal RNA", at positions 35 to 154 of the family's 154-position model. The record is from RNAcentral.